GCCAAUGUGGUGUACUGGUUUGAGCACUGGACUACAACUCUGGAGACCAGGGUUCAAAUCCUUGCUUGCCC
This 71-nucleotide transfer RNA is filed under the name Phrynosoma platyrhinos (Desert horned lizard). RNAcentral describes it as "tRNA-OTHER". Lineage: Eukaryota; Metazoa; Chordata; Lepidosauria; Squamata; Phrynosomatidae. The record is from RNAcentral.